GUCCCGACUCCCGAUGCGCGAGUGGUGUUUCGCCAGACUGAAAUCAUAGCGGAUUAGGCUACUAUGUCAAAUAUUUUAGAAGCAUCGCGGAUGUACGGAUAUAAAUCCCGUCCAAAAGAAUUAUUUUUAUUUAGGUUCUAUGAAGUAUGAACGUCCUAAUAAUCUUGUGUUACAGUUUUGUGAAGAUGAGGCUUUCAACUUAAGGUCGAGAACUAUGUGUGGUCUGUGAACGGAGAGAGGUCAUGCCGCGCAGAGACUCAGACAUUCACGUCUUAUUUACCUCCGGAGAGACUUCGGACAACGACUGUGAAAUGGGGGCAAGUUGUGUCGAGAGAGACGGAGUGUGUCUGUGUGAGAUUGGACCUUGUUCACUGUACGCCGAAGCACACGCACACGCACACACACACACACUGCUGGACACAUUAACUUGUGAGCACUGUGGUCAAAACAGGGUGGCGAUUACCAGGUAUUCAGAAGGCUAUGGCACAGAGGAGGAAUGUGUUUUGUCCGAUCCUCAGGGUGAAAGUGACGCAGAUGCUGACAUAGAAGAUGCAGACUGCAGACUGCAGGAGCCAGGUUCUCUCCAGCGAAUCAGCUCACGGAGACGCAGACGACCACGAGUCACACGACAGGAUACAACGGAGAGCGAGGAUGACGGUGGGCGGAGCCACAGGUCCCAUCGCUGGAACCUCAGACUCAGUCCUCACCGGGCUCAUGGCAGGACCAAUCAGGAGGAGAGUGUGUCCCAGGUCAGACCGCUGGUAGUAUGUCAGCCCAGUGUCGGAGAAGGGCAGAAGGCCCCCGUAGAAACUUCCGGAAGUCCCAGGUGGCUGAUGUCCUUGAGGCCCUCAUCUCUCUCACUCUCGUUUAUCCUCCUCCUCUCUCUCCCUCUCUCUCUUUCCUUAGUCAUUGUUCUCAUGUCUUUCUUCUUGCCGUCGACCGGUGCUUGACCAAACUCUACGUUCCCUGAAUCGUGCAUCUGUCUGUCUGACACGGUUUGUGCAGCCUGUGCUACUUCACCCUUUAUUUUGUCCACCUAUCAUCUCUCUCUUUUUGAUUGGCGUGCUUUUAUCGUUUUAUCGUCAUCUUCCUCCCCUUCUCUAUCUCUGGCGUUCUCUCUUUUUCCUCUUUCUCUGUCUCUUUUUCUCCCUCUCUCCCCCUCGUUUGUAAAAAUAGACCUCUCGGCUCUCUGCUCAUACUAAGCAGAGAGGGUGUGAUAUGGAGGAGGAAGGGUUAGAAUGUCGCGCACGGAUGGUGUGGUUUGGCUCAAUGGAAAAUAUGUAAAUAACUGAACUAUGCAAUCCUCUCUAUCUCUCCUCUCCUCUCUCUCUCUCUCUCUCUCUCUCUCUCUCUCUCUCUCUCUCUCUCUCUCUCUCUCUCUCCCCCUCUCUCUCUCUCUACCUGUUCUUGUUCUCUUUCCCUUCCUGUCUUCUGCCUCGUUCCUCCUUUUUUCUCUGAGGCAGGAACGGUCCUUUGUGAAUAACGGGACCCAUGUCUCUAAAUUAGCACUUGUCCUAGUUUUUUAAAAUAUAUAUAUAAAACAGUAGAGCUUAGACAUGGGCCAACCUCUCAUCGUUUUGAUAGACUUGUUGUUUGGCAGGUAACUUACAAGGUCUAAGUUAUCCGAAUUGAAAGUGUGUUGUAAAUUUGGUAACUCUCUAUAGGAGCUAAUACUUUACUGACUACGUGCGAUAUGUAUCUACAAAUCAGUAUGUGACAAACUUCAUCCAAAUGUUUAUUUCCUCAAUUGUUUUAUGUGCUUCGUCUAAGUUGCCAGAUUUGUAUACAUGUAUGUUUAUUGUUAUAUUUUGUGGGGCCAGAAAAUUGAUGAUGAAUAAAACAACAUUGUAUUUUGA
Long non-coding RNA from Osmerus eperlanus (European smelt), 1856 nucleotides. RefSeq lists it as uncharacterized. The record is from RefSeq and is a predicted model, not a curated record. NCBI's taxonomy places the organism in Eukaryota, Metazoa, Chordata, Actinopteri, Osmeriformes, Osmeridae. The transcript is spliced from 8 exons.